UACGUAGGGGGCAAGCGUUGUCCGGAUUUAUUGGGCGUAAAGAGCGUGUAGGCGGUCUGGUAGGUCCGCUGUGAAAACUCGAGGCUCAACCUCGAGACGCCGGUGGAAACCAUCAGACUAGAGUCCGGAAGAGGAGAGCGGAAUUCCUGGUGUAGCGGUGAAAUGCGCAGAUAUCAGGAGGAACACCGGUGGCGAAGGCGGUUCUCUGGGCAUUACCUGACGCUGAGGUGCGAAAGCGUGGGGAGCGAACAGG
RNAcentral lists this ribosomal RNA (253 nucleotides) under uncultured bacterium. Its description in RNAcentral is "partial 16S ribosomal RNA". It matches the Rfam family "Bacterial small subunit ribosomal RNA", at positions 524 to 776 of the family's 1533-position model. The record is from RNAcentral.